Molecule: ribosomal RNA, 497 nt
Filed under: uncultured bacterium
Lineage: Bacteria
Description: partial 16S ribosomal RNA
Rfam family: Bacterial small subunit ribosomal RNA
Source: RNAcentral
GCUUCACUCUUUCUUCGUGCCUAAUACAUGCAAGUCGAGCGAACAGACGAGGAGCUUGCUCCUCUGACGUUAGCGGCGGACGGGUGAGUAACACGUGGAUAACCUACCUAUAAGACUGGGAUAACUUCGGGAAACCGGAGCUAAUACCGGAUAAUAUAUUGAACCGCAUGGUUCAAUAGUGAAAGACGGUUUUGCUGUCACUUAUAGAUGGAUCCGCGCCGCAUUAGCUAGUUGGUAAGGUAACGGCUUACCAAGGCAACGAUGCGUAGCCGACCUGAGAGGGUGAUCGGCCACACUGGAACUGAGACACGGUCCAGACUCCUACGGGAGGCAGCAGUAGGGAAUCUUCCGCAAUGGGCGAAAGCCUGACGGAGCAACGCCGCGUGAGUGAUGAAGGUCUUCGGAUCGUAAAACUCUGUUAUUAGGGAAGAACAAAUGUGUAAGUAACUAUGCACGUCUUGACGGUACCUAAUCAGAAAGCCACGGCUAACUACGUG